Molecule: RNA transcript, 1216 nt
Organism: Nicotiana tabacum (common tobacco)
Lineage: Eukaryota; Viridiplantae; Streptophyta; Magnoliopsida; Solanales; Solanaceae
Source: RefSeq, a predicted model, not a curated record
UAAAAUUCUUGCUUCAUUUUGCCAAGCAAAAUAGAGUAUUCACAAAAUGAAGAUGAAAAAGAUAGAAUAGAAUGUUGCCAGCCGGCCCAAUCCAAACAAAAUGCAAGUCCAGUUGUGGUGGCAGAGUCAUACCUCUUCUUCACUGCCCCUAUCUUCAAUUUUGUACCGUGAGGAAGCCAUUGCAGCUGGUGCUACGUGGCACAUCCACAACAACAAUGCAUUAUCCGCCGCCGCCCUCAGCCUCAGGUUUAGCCGAAACCCUAACCUAACCUCUCGAAGAUUUCGUCUCGUUACUUUCACGUCAAACGCUACCUUUGACGAUGGCGACACUCGGAAUGAUAAUGUCAAUGAUACGGGAGACCGAGGCGACGACGAUGACGAUGAUGAUGACGGCGUUGAGAUUGAGAUUGAAAUAAUUGGGAAACGUCGUCGGCGAAUUCGAUCCAAGAUAGCCGUGAACGCCAGCUUGCAGAACGUGUGGGAAGUCCUCACUGAUUAUGAAAGGUUAGCUGAUUUCAUCCCCGGUCUUGCCGUCAGCCAGUUGCUUCAGAAGGAGCCUAAUUUCGCCCGGCUUCUUCAGAUUGGGGAACAAGACUUAGCAUUUGGGCUCAAAUUUAAUGCUAAAGGUAUCGUUGAUUGUUAUGAGAAAGAUCUUGAAGAUCUCCCCAUUGGUCAGAGGCGUGAUAUUGAGUUUAAGAUGGUGGAAGGUGACUUCAAACUUUUUGAAGGGAAAUGGUCUAUCGAACAGAUGGUGGAUUCUUCCUUCCCUUUUUCUAUUCCUUCCUCUGCCAUUCAGUUGUUAUUAGGAACUCAGUGGAAAACGUACAAUGUGAGGUUAUAAAAAUUGAAACAACCGAAGAUACCAUCUUUUCUUUUUCGCGAAUGUCUUGAGUGCAACCCAGGUAGUGUUAAAGAGCAUGAUUCUUCUGCGGGCCAACCAUUUCAUACAACUCUCUUCUACAUUGUUGAUGUUGAACCUAAGCUUUGGUUGCCUGUGCGGGUUAUUGAAGGCAGACUCUGUAAGGAGAUAAAAACCAACCUGCGGUCUGUUAGGGAAGAAGCACAAAAAGUAUAUCUUACUUCAUUAUCAUCUUAUUAACUGUCAACUAAUUACUACCAUUUAUUGCUGAAGCAAUGUAUAUAUUACCUCUACAUAAUACAAUUUUUACCAAAUCAACAUCUGUUUUGGUGCACUUAUUUUGAUGAUGUGGAUUAA